Molecule: long non-coding RNA, 104 nt
Organism: Xiphophorus hellerii (green swordtail)
Lineage: Eukaryota; Metazoa; Chordata; Actinopteri; Cyprinodontiformes; Poeciliidae
Exons: 3
Source: RefSeq, a predicted model, not a curated record
UAGCGUGUCCAGAGGGACUGCCUGGAUUUACAAAGACAGAAAGCAAAUAUUAAAGCUAAAAGAUACUCCAGCUCACAGAAAGCUGCAUUUUUUAAGGCUGAUAU